CAGUAGCCACGGUAAUACGGAGGGGGCUAGCGUUGUUCGGAAUUACUGGGCGUAAAGCGCACGUAGGCGGCCUAUUAAGUCAGGGGUGAAAGACGGUAGCUUAACUAUCGCAGUGCCUUUGAUACUGAUGGGCUUGAAUGUACUUGAAGUGGGCGGAAUGUGACAAGUAGCGGUGAAAUGCAUAGAUAUGUCACAGAACACCGAUUGCGAAGGCAGCUCACUAAAGUAUGAUUGACGCUGAGGCACGAAAGCGUGGGGAUCAAACAGGAUUAGAGACCCCGGUAGUCCCUGUUUCUUAUAA
This 301-nucleotide ribosomal RNA is filed under the name uncultured bacterium. RNAcentral's name for it is "partial 16S ribosomal RNA". It matches the Rfam family "Bacterial small subunit ribosomal RNA", at positions 509 to 809 of the family's 1533-position model. The record is from RNAcentral.